Molecule: ribosomal RNA, 253 nt
Filed under: uncultured bacterium
Lineage: Bacteria
Description: partial 16S ribosomal RNA
Rfam family: Bacterial small subunit ribosomal RNA
Source: RNAcentral
UACGUAGGAUGCAAGCGUUGUCCGGAAUUAUUGGGCGUAAAGAGCGCGCAGGCGGUGUAUCAAGUCAGAUGUGAAAGAGGCCGGCUUAACCGGCAAGGGUCAUUUGAAACUGAUAGACUAGAGUGCAGCAGAGGAUAGUGGAAUUCCCGGUGUAGUGGUGAAAUGCGUAGAUAUCGGGAGGAACACCAGUGGCGAAGGCGACUAUCUGGGCUGCAACUGACGCUGAGGCGCGAAGGCUAGGAUAGCAAACAGG